GACGUAGGGCGCGAGCGUUGUCCGGAUUUAUUGGGCGUAAAGAGCUCGUAGGCGGCUUGUCGCGUCGUCCGUGAAAACCCACAGCUCAACUGUGGGCUUGCGGUCGAUACGGGCAGGCUAGAGUUCGGUAGGGGAGACUGGAAUUCCUGGUGUAGCGGUGAAAUGCGUAGAUAUAGGAAGGAACACCAGUGGCGAAGGCGGGUCUCUGGGCCGUAACUGACGCUGAGGAGCGAAAGCGUGGGGAGCGAACAGG
RNAcentral lists this ribosomal RNA (253 nucleotides) under uncultured bacterium. Its description in RNAcentral is "partial 16S ribosomal RNA". It matches the Rfam family "Bacterial small subunit ribosomal RNA", at positions 524 to 776 of the family's 1533-position model. The record is from RNAcentral.